This 253-nucleotide ribosomal RNA is filed under the name uncultured bacterium. RNAcentral's name for it is "partial 16S ribosomal RNA". It matches the Rfam family "Bacterial small subunit ribosomal RNA", at positions 524 to 776 of the family's 1533-position model. The record is from RNAcentral.
UACGUAGGGUGCGAGCGUUAAUCGGAAUGACUGGGCGUAAAGGGUGCGUAGGCGGUUUGCUAAGACGGAUGUGAAAUCCCUGGGCUCAACCUAGGACCUGCAUACGUGACUGGUAGGCUAGAGUAUCGAAGAGGGGGGUAGAAUUCCACGUGUAGCAGUGAAAUGCGUAGAGAUGUGGAGGAAUACCGAUGGCGAAGGCAGCCCCCUGGUCAGAUACUGACGCUGAGGCACGAAAGCGUGGGGAGCAAACAGG